This 450-nucleotide ribosomal RNA is filed under the name uncultured bacterium. RNAcentral describes it as "bacterial SSU rRNA". It matches the Rfam family "Bacterial small subunit ribosomal RNA", at positions 330 to 793 of the family's 1533-position model. The record is from RNAcentral.
GCCAGACUCCUACGGGAGGCAGCAGUGGGGAAUAUUGCACAAUGGGGGAAACCCUGAUGCAGCGACGCCGCGUGAGUGAGGAAGUAUUUCGGUAUGUAAAGCUCUCUCAGCAGGGAAGAAAAAAUGACGGUACCUGACUAAGAAGCACCGGCUAAAUACGUGCCAGCAGCCGCGGUAAUACGUAUGGUGCAAGCGUUAUCCGGAUUUACUGGGUGUAAAGGGAGCGCAGGCGGUACGGCAAGUCUGAUGUGAAAGCCCGGGGCUCAACCCCGGGACUGCAUUGGAAACUGGCAUGCUGGAGUGCCGGAGGGGCAAGCGGAAUUCCUAGUGUAGCGGUGAAAUGCGUAGAUAUUAGGAGGAACACCGGUGGCGAAGGCGGCUUGCUGGACGGUAACUGACGUUGAGGCUCGAAAGCGUGGGGAGCAAACAGGAUUAGAUACCCCCGUAAAG